AACGGCCAUAUCAUGCUGAAUAUACCGGUUCUCGUUAGAUCACCGAAGUCAAGCAUCAUUGGGCGCGGUCAGUACUUGGGUGGGUGACCACCUGGGAACACCGCGUACCGUU
RNAcentral lists this ribosomal RNA (112 nucleotides) under Caerostris darwini. Lineage: Eukaryota; Metazoa; Arthropoda; Arachnida; Araneae; Araneidae. The record is from RNAcentral.